Molecule: non-coding RNA, 45 nt
Filed under: Trichobilharzia regenti
Lineage: Eukaryota; Metazoa; Platyhelminthes; Trematoda; Strigeidida; Schistosomatidae
Source: RNAcentral
AUCCAGAUGACGAGAUCCGAAUAGGACGAAAUGCGCAUCCCGGAU